This is a non-coding RNA of Pelobates cultripes (western spadefoot toad), 210 nucleotides long. The record is from the annotation of a GenBank genome assembly. Lineage: Eukaryota; Metazoa; Chordata; Amphibia; Anura; Pelobatidae.
GGGCUGUGUAGCUGACCUUCUGGGCGGUGGGAUUCAUCCCGUCGCUUGCCACCAAUUGUUAAGACACCCCUGGCACAAAGGAGUGAAACCGCCGUUUAGUAAAGCUUCCCCUUUCCCAAUAACGCAAACUCCAUUCGUAUAGACUCCAACCGUAUGAACUGCAAUCAGGGGAAGGCGCCAAUCUCCCAAACGGGACCCGUACGGAUGCUC